UACAGAGGUCUCAAGCGUUGUUCGGAUUCAUUGGGCGUAAAGGGUGCGUAGGCGGCGCGGUAAGUCGGGUGUGAAAUCUCGGGGCUUAACUCCGAAACUGCAUUCGAUACUGCCGUGCUUGAGGACUGGAGAGGAGACUGGAAUUUACGGUGUAGCGGUGAAAUGCGUAGAUAUCGUAAGGAAGACCAGUGGCGAAGGCGGUUACCUGGAGCUUUGCUGACGCUGAUGCGCGAAAGCGUGGGGAGCGAUCCGG
This 253-nucleotide ribosomal RNA is filed under the name uncultured bacterium. RNAcentral's name for it is "partial 16S ribosomal RNA". It matches the Rfam family "Bacterial small subunit ribosomal RNA", at positions 524 to 776 of the family's 1533-position model. The record is from RNAcentral.